This 309-nucleotide ribosomal RNA is filed under the name Pseudolabrus sieboldi. Its description in RNAcentral is "partial 16S rRNA". Lineage: Eukaryota; Metazoa; Chordata; Actinopteri; Labriformes; Labridae. The record is from RNAcentral.
GGCUUAGCUGUCUCCUUUUUCUAGCCAAUGAAAUUGAUCUUUCCGUGCAGAAGCGGGAAUAACAACAUAAGACGAGAAGACCCUAUGGAGCUUUAGACACUAAGACAGAUCACGUCAAACACCCCAGCUUAAUGGGCCGAACUAAGUGAACCCUGUCCUAAUGUCUUUGGUUGGGGCGACCCUGGGGAGACAAAUAACCCCCAUGUGGAGUGGAAACACCAUAUUUCCAGAACUAAGAGCUAACCGCUCUAAGGAACAGAAUUUCUGACCAUUUUAGAUCCGGCUACUGCCGAUCGGCGGACCGAGUUA